RNAcentral lists this ribosomal RNA (409 nucleotides) under uncultured bacterium. Its description in RNAcentral is "partial 16S ribosomal RNA". It matches the Rfam family "Bacterial small subunit ribosomal RNA", at positions 355 to 755 of the family's 1533-position model. The record is from RNAcentral.
UGGGGAAUAUUGCACAAUGGGCGCAAGCCUGAUGCAGCCAUGCCGCGUGUGUGAAGAAGGCCUUCGGGUUGUAAAGCACUUUCAGCGGGGAGGAAGGGUUCAGUGUUAAUAGCACUGUUCAUUGACGUUACUCGCAGAAGAAGCACCGGCUAACUCCGUGCCAGCAGCCGCGGUAAUACGGAGGGUGCAAGCGUUAAUCGGAAUUACUGGGCGUAAAGCGCACGCAGGCGGUUUGUUAAGUCAGAUGUGAAAUCCCCGCGCUUAACGUGGGAACUGCAUUUGAAACUGGCAAGCUAGAGUCUUGUAGAGGGGGGUAGAAUUCCAGGUGUAGCGGUGAAAUGCGUAGAGAUCUGGAGGAAUACCGGUGGCGAAGGCGGCCCCCUGGACAAAGACUGACGCUCCAGGUGCG